AUCGUGCAUAUCGAUUGGGGUCUUUCCCCGAAUCUUUAUAUCCUUAGUAUGACCCAUUACCGCGUGCGACUGACAAGAAUCAUACGACACUUUAACCGGCCAAUCAUGUACAUCUUUGCAUAGACAUAAUGUGUUUACAGACUAGGGGAUUUUUUUCACGAAGGUUGUCACUAUUGGUCGACUGCUAAACCUGUUUUACCUGUUUUCCCUAUGAGAUAAACAAGGUGAUUUCCCUUGAAGAUUGAUCCUUAUAUAUUUAGGACUUUUGUCCAUCGAUUCAGUCACCAGUUCUGCACUAGCCGAAUCUGUCGACAAUCACCAAGAGAACUAGCUACAAACUCAGUUUUUCUAUCAAAAUGGGUGACAGCGAAAAGCAAGGAAAAAAGAAUCUUACGACAAAAGAAGAUGUUGCAAGGGUUGAAAAGGCUCACAAAGAGAAUGACGGUCAAGUGGAGAGAAUGAAAGCUGCAGCUGAAAGGAAUGAAAAGGCAGCAAAGGAGGAGAGCAAUAAAUGAUCUUUGCAACCAAGAAAGACUAAAAUACUAUAGAUUUUAGCUGAUUAAACACUUAGUCUGAAGUCUAAACCUGUUUCAUAGCUUAGUCAAGUAAUGACAAUCCCUUCGUAAUGUUUUUGUAAACUAAAAAUUCCGUAACUUACUCAACUACUUCUUUUGCCACAAUGAAGGAGAGAAUAAAUGAAUAAACUGAGUUUCCCAUAUAAA
Molecule: long non-coding RNA, 722 nt
Organism: Actinia tenebrosa (Australian red waratah sea anemone)
Lineage: Eukaryota; Metazoa; Cnidaria; Anthozoa; Actiniaria; Actiniidae
Source: RefSeq, a predicted model, not a curated record